Molecule: small RNA, 1337 nt
Filed under: Sarcomyxa serotina
Lineage: Eukaryota; Fungi; Basidiomycota; Agaricomycetes; Agaricales; Mycenaceae
Description: eukaryotic LSU rRNA
Rfam family: Eukaryotic large subunit ribosomal RNA (bases 669-1337)
Source: RNAcentral
UUUCCGUAGGUGAACCUGCGGAAGGAUCAUUAUUGAAUUUCAAGAGGGAUUGGUUGUUGCUGGCUUUUUGAAGUAAUGUGCACACCGUCUCUUCUUAGUUCUCACAUUCACCUGUGCACCUCUUGUAGACCCGAGACAAACUUAUCGAGGAAACUCGGAUGUGAGGGUUGCGGGCUUCCUCAGAAGUCGGCUUCCCUCUACUGACUCGCGUGUCUAUGUCUUUACAAACCCUUUAUAAAAAAUGUUAACAGAAUGUCAUACAACGGUUCGCCCUAAAAAAGUGAGCUUUAAAUUAAUACAACUUUCAACAACGGAUCUCUUGGCUCUCGCAUCGAUGAAGAACGCAGCGAAAUGCGAUAAGUAAUGUGAAUUGCAGAAUUCAGUGAAUCAUCGAAUCUUUGAACGCACCUUGCGCUCCUUGGUAUUCCGAGGAGCAUGCCUGUUUGAGUGUCAUUAAAUUCUCAACCUUCCUUGUCUUUAUUGAUGAGGUAGUGCUUGGACGUGGGGGUUGCGGGCUUCCUCAGAAGUCGGCUCUCCUUAAAUGCAUUAGCGGAACCUUUGUGGACCGUCUAUUGGUGUGAUAAUUAUCUACGCCAUCGACGCGGACGCUGUUAUAUGGGGUUCAGCUUCUAACCAUCUCGCAAGAGAUAACAACUUAAUUGACAUUUUGACCUCAAAUCAGGUAGGACUACCCGCUGAACUUAAGCAUAUCAAUAAGCGGAGGAAAAGAAACUAACAAGGAUUCCCCUAGUAACUGCGAGUGAAGCGGGAAAAGCUCAAAUUUAAAAUCUGGCGGUCCUUGCGGCCGUCCGAGUUGUAAUCUAGAGAAGUGUUAUCCGCGCUGGACCGUGUACAAGUCUCCUGGAAUGGAGCGUCAUAGAGGGUGAGAAUCCCGUCUUUGACACGGACUGCCAGGGCUUUGUGAUGCGCUCUCGAAGAGUCGAGUUGUUUGGGAAUGCAGCUCAAAAUGGGUGGUAAAUUCCAUCUAAAGCUAAAUAUUGGCGAGAGACCGAUAGCGAACAAGUACCGUGAGGGAAAGAUGAAAAGAACUUUGGAAAGAGAGUUAAACAGUACGUGAAAUUGUUGAAAGGGAAACGCUUGAAGUCAGUCGCGUCGUUCAGGGAUCAACCUUGCAUUUUUGCUGGGCGUACUUCCUGUUCGACGGGUCAGCAUCAAUUUUGACCGUCGGAUAAAGGCUUGGGGAAUGUGGCAUCUUCGGAUGUGUUAUAGCCCUGGGUCGCAUACGACGGUUGGGAUUGAGGAACUCAGCACGCCGCAAGGCCGGGUGUUCGCACCACGUACGUGCUUAGGAUGCUGGCAUAAUGGCUUUAAUCGAC